This 360-nucleotide long non-coding RNA is filed under the name Daucus carota (carrot). Its description in RNAcentral is "long non-coding RNA (DCAR_LNC005572)". The record is from RNAcentral. Lineage: Eukaryota; Viridiplantae; Streptophyta; Magnoliopsida; Apiales; Apiaceae.
UGCUUCUAAUAAUCCUUUGAGAAAUCAAUUGGAUUGGGUCAUCAAUGUACUUCCAUUACCGGUUCUGAGAAUCUGGUAUUUGAAAGCCCGGUGUUUGUCUUGUAAUCUGUCAGCCUGAUCCGUCUCAACUAAAUGUCAAUCUAAUUUGUCUUGGAGUAGAAUAAUUAAAAAGGUUACGGGACACUUGAUUAUUUAAACUAAGUUUAAAUUAUAAAGAAAAUAAAUUUAAAAAUAAGCUUUAAAAGAUAAAAGAAAAUAAAGUAUAAAAUAAACUUAGUCAAAUCUAUAAAAUAAAUUUAAUUAUAUUUAAAAAAUAAAUUCAAAUAAAUUUAUAAUAAACUGAAUAAGUUUAGAAUAAAU